AGUGUAGGCGGCUACGUAAGUCGGAUGUGAAAGCCCUGGGCUCAACCUGGGAAUUGCAUUCGAUACUGCGUAGCUAGAGUUUGAUAGAGGUAAGUGGAAUUCCGGGUGUAGCGGUGAAAUGCGUAGAUAUCCGGAGGAACAUCAGUGGCGAAGACGGCUUACUGGAUCAAAACUGACGCUGAGGCUCGAAAGCGUGGGGAGCAAACAGGAUUAGAUACCCUGGUAGUCC
Molecule: ribosomal RNA, 229 nt
Filed under: uncultured bacterium
Lineage: Bacteria
Description: partial 16S ribosomal RNA
Rfam family: Bacterial small subunit ribosomal RNA
Source: RNAcentral